This is a transfer RNA of Cavia porcellus (domestic guinea pig), 64 nucleotides long. It matches the Rfam family "tRNA". From Rfam's summary of the family: Transfer RNA (tRNA) molecules are approximately 80 nucleotides in length. NCBI's taxonomy places the organism in Eukaryota, Metazoa, Chordata, Mammalia, Rodentia, Caviidae. The record is from Rfam.
GGGGAUUUAGUUCAGCGGCUUAAGCACCUGCCUUGCAAGCAGGUGGUCGUCAGUUCAAUCCCCC